AUUUGUCUGGUUAAUUCCGAUAACGAACGAGACCUUAACCUGCUAACUAGAUUCUUUUGUUUUACAAAAGUUAUCUUCUUAGAGGGACUAUGUAAAUCAAUUACAUGGAAGUUUGAGGCAAUAACAGGUCAGUGAUGCCCUUAUAUGUCCUGGGCUGCACGCGUGCUACACUGAUGCAUACAACAAGUGCCUAACCAGAUAUGGUAUGGCAAUCUCGAAUAUGCAUCGUGAUGGGGAUAGAUCUUUGCAAUUAUAGAUCUUGAACGAGGAAUUCCUAGUAAGUGCAAGUCAUCAUCUUGCAUUGAUUAUGUCCCUGCCCUUUGUACACACCGCCCGUCGCUCCUACCGAUACCGGGUGAUCCGGUGAACCUUUUGGACCUUUACGGGGAAGAUAAGUAAACCAUAUCACCUAGAGGAAGGAGAAGUCGUAACAAGGUUUCCGUAGGUGAACCUGCRGAAGGAUCA
RNAcentral lists this ribosomal RNA (465 nucleotides) under uncultured ciliate. RNAcentral describes it as "SSU rRNA". It matches the Rfam family "Eukaryotic small subunit ribosomal RNA". Lineage: Eukaryota; Ciliophora. The record is from RNAcentral.